GUACAGCUGGGAGCUCCUGCUCGUGUUGGACUUGUAGCACCAAUUGAUGUUAUUGUUGGCCUGAUAUUUACAAAGGGAGAUCUCAAGGAAGUCAGUGAAGAGGUUGCCAAGUACAAGCCGGCUCAAAGUAAUUAUUAUGGAGGGUGAAUCUACGAGUUGUCGUCAUUUGAAUUUUAACGAAAAUGAAGCUAGUCGGGAAGGGGACUUUGAUGUUAUUGAUGAAGGCUUAAACAUUGAAACAGAUUUUGAUAUACCACAAAUGGGG
This is a long non-coding RNA of Zingiber officinale, 265 nucleotides long. RefSeq lists it as uncharacterized. NCBI's taxonomy places the organism in Eukaryota, Viridiplantae, Streptophyta, Magnoliopsida, Zingiberales, Zingiberaceae. The transcript has 3 exons. The record is from RefSeq and is a predicted model, not a curated record.